GGUCUCGUACUGCAAUUUAAAAGAACUCAAUUAUCAAUGAAAACCCCCUCGAGAUCUG
Molecule: non-coding RNA, 58 nt
Filed under: Cavenderia fasciculata
Lineage: Eukaryota; Evosea; Eumycetozoa; Acytosteliales; Cavenderiaceae
Source: Rfam by way of RNAcentral